AAAGUCGUAACAAGGUUUCCGUAGGUGAACCUGCGGAAGGAUCAUUACCAUGAAGCGGCUUGGGACACCCAAGUUCGCCAACCCUUUGUAUACCUCCCUGUUGCUUCGGCGGGACGUUCAUGACCCAUCCGUCGUGACCACCGGUCUCUCGGUGUGCGCCCCCGUCAGAGGACCCAAACACUACGUCUUUUGGUGACGUCCGAGCAAAUCGAGAAAUCAAACAAAACUUUCAACAACGGAUCUCUUGGUUCCG
This 253-nucleotide unclassified non-coding RNA is filed under the name Ascomycota sp. Its description in RNAcentral is "partial contains small subunit ribosomal RNA, internal transcribed spacer 1, and 5.8S ribosomal RNA". The stretch from base 1 to 47 matches the Rfam family "Eukaryotic small subunit ribosomal RNA", at positions 1785 to 1831 of the family's 1831-position model. Lineage: Eukaryota; Fungi; Ascomycota. The record is from RNAcentral.